This 429-nucleotide ribosomal RNA is filed under the name uncultured bacterium. RNAcentral's name for it is "bacterial SSU rRNA". It matches the Rfam family "Bacterial small subunit ribosomal RNA", at positions 42 to 473 of the family's 1533-position model. The record is from RNAcentral.
UCAGGCCUAACACAUGCAAGUCGAACGGCAGCACGGACUUCGGUCUGGUGGCGAGUGGCGAACGGGUGAGUAAUACAUCGGAACGUGCCCAAUCGUGGGGGAUAACGUAGCGAAAGCUACGCUAAUACCGCAUACGAUCUAAGGAUGAAAGCGGGGGAUCGCAAGACCUCGCGCGACUGGAGCGGCCGAUGGCAGAUUAGGUAGUUGGUAGGGUAAAGGCCUACCAAGCCGACGAUCUGUAGCUGGUCUGAGAGGAUGAUCAGCCACACUGGGACUGGGACACGGCCCAGACUCCUACGGGAGGCAGCAGUGGGGAAUUUUGGACAAUGGACGCAAGUCUGAUCCAGCCAUUCCGCGUGCAGGAUGAAGGCCCUCGGGUUGUAAACAGAUGUUGUACAGAACGAAAAGGCUCUGGUUAAUACCUGGGGC